This 1112-nucleotide long non-coding RNA is filed under the name Drosophila guanche. The record is from RNAcentral. Lineage: Eukaryota; Metazoa; Arthropoda; Insecta; Diptera; Drosophilidae.
AGAAGCUGGAGCGCUUGACGUGAUUGUUCUACUGGCUUAGGUCAGCCUCUAAAAGGAAGCACUUUGAAUGGCUUAGAAAAAUAUAUAAAACCAACGCUUGCUGCUAAAAAUUGGAAUUAAAUAUCUAUUUCAUUGCAAAUCCAAGUACAAACCCUGUCCGGCUACAGAUACAGACAUAGAUGCAAAGAUACUCUCACUUCGAUGCUAAUGAUGCGUCAUGGUCAUGGUACGAUGUCUAAAACAUUCGACGGGGAAUUUCAGCAGACGAUUUGGCAAGCUGUCAACGCCACUCACUGUGCGAAUGGGGGCGUGGCACAGGGUAGGACCAAGCCCAAGCCCAUGCCCAAAGAGUAAGGACAUCGACGAAUUCGAAGCUAAUGAUUGUCUGAAAGACGUUUGCCAGCAAAGACAUCAAUCAAUCCGAAGCCAAAGUGAAACCACCCCCAGGGGAGGAAACGCACUGACUGCCUCCCUCCUCUUCAGAACGUUCCACUUUUGGCUCCUCAAAUAAGUAAGCAAAACUUAUAAACUCAUUCGAAUCAUAUUUAAAAAUCAUCCAGCAACAGCUUGCUCCAUGCGCGUGUCCAUUCAUGAAUUAUUAGUUGGAGCUUAUCAAACGUGACCAAAAUCGGAACGGAAAAGAAAAUGUUAAUAAUAAACUAAUAAAAAAAGGAAACACAGUUGGCCUUUGCCAGCUGUUGUUGGGCAGCAGCAGCAGCAGGACCACGGACCGGGCCCAAGCAAGUGUGAAAAAUCAGCAAAAACGAUGCCAAGUCCACAGGAAAAACUGUGGACCAACCCACCAAGGCUACAAUUUUCAUUGUGGGAACGAGGAAAACCCCACAUGUGCUGUGACGUGCCAUGCUCGUUCUCGUUAUUAUCUUUUGGGCUGACCACAAGACGUGUCAACUUGUGGUGCCAUCUCACCAGUCGACUUCAGAGGCACUCCAGUGCUAUAUAUAAAUCAAGUUUUGGGAAAAACUUUGCCUGCGGCGGACAGCACCCGCAACACCCAACCCGAAAGCGUUCCUUUCUCGGUUCAGGGAAGCCGCUUAUAAAUUUUUGAGCAAUAUAUUCCCUUCGAGAAGAAAGCAAGCGGCUUAUUGACAAGU